UUUUCGCAAUUUUUUCGUACUGCCAAUUUCGACCCCUCAGUGAACAUUUCGCGUUUCUCGAAGAUCCGUCUGUCGCAUUUUCGAUCGGAUCGCGCCAGCACGUUCAGCACGACUGGGGAAUCGAUUCUACCAUUUUGAUUCGUCCGAUCUGGUCGCCGAUUUGUGACUAAACCCAUCCACUCUCCAACUUUCCAAAACCACACAUAAAUAUAUGUGUAAAACCCAUAAACUCCCUUUUCUCGAAAACCAUGCAUCAAAUCUGAAAUCCAUCA
RNAcentral lists this long non-coding RNA (272 nucleotides) under Ananas comosus (pineapple). RNAcentral describes it as "long non-coding RNA (ACOM_LNC041623)". Lineage: Eukaryota; Viridiplantae; Streptophyta; Magnoliopsida; Poales; Bromeliaceae. The record is from RNAcentral.